CAGUAGCCGCGGUAAUACGUAGGGCGCGAGCGUUGUCCGGAAUUAUUGGGCGUAAAGAGCUUGUAGGCGGUUGGUCGCGUCUGCUGUGAAAGGCUGGGGCUUAACCCUGGUUUUGCAGUGGGUACGGGCUAACUAGAGUGCAGUAGGGGAGACUGGAAUUCCUGGUGUAGCGGUGGAAUGCGCAGAUAUCAGGAGGAACACCGAUGGCGAAGGCAGGUCUCUGGGCUGUAACUGACGCUGAGAAGCGAAAGCAUGGGGAGCGAACAGGAUUAGAUACCCCCGUAGUCCCUGUCUCUUAUAC
Molecule: ribosomal RNA, 301 nt
Filed under: uncultured bacterium
Lineage: Bacteria
Description: partial 16S ribosomal RNA
Rfam family: Bacterial small subunit ribosomal RNA
Source: RNAcentral